GGUAAGAUGGCUGAGUAUUAAGCGGUGGCUUGUAGUCCCAUGGACGGAGGUUAAAUUCCUUCUCUUACCA
Molecule: transfer RNA, 70 nt
Filed under: Echeneis naucrates (live sharksucker)
Lineage: Eukaryota; Metazoa; Chordata; Actinopteri; Carangiformes; Echeneidae
Also listed under: 1 other name
Rfam family: tRNA
About the family: Transfer RNA (tRNA) molecules are approximately 80 nucleotides in length. Their secondary structure includes four short double-helical elements and three loops (D, anti-codon, and T loops). Further hydrogen bonds mediate the characteristic L-shaped molecular structure. tRNAs have two regions of fundamental functional importance: the anti-codon, which is responsible for specific mRNA codon recognition, and the 3' end, to which the tRNAs corresponding amino acid is attached (by aminoacyl-tRNA synthetases). tRNAs cope with the degeneracy of the genetic code in two manners: having more than one tRNA (with a specific anti-codon) for a particular amino acid; and 'wobble' base-pairing, i.e. permitting non-standard base-pairing at the 3rd anti-codon position.
Source: Rfam by way of RNAcentral